UGAGUAACCUGCCCUUAACUCUGGGAUAAGCCUGGGAAACUGGGUCUAAUACCGGAUAUGACUCCUCAUCGCAUGGUGGGGGGUGGAAAGCUUUUUGUGGUUUUGGAUGGACUCGCGGCCUAUCAGCUUGUUGGUGAGGUAAUGGCUCACCAAGGCGA
RNAcentral lists this ribosomal RNA (158 nucleotides) under uncultured bacterium. RNAcentral describes it as "partial 16S ribosomal RNA". It matches the Rfam family "Bacterial small subunit ribosomal RNA", at positions 118 to 276 of the family's 1533-position model. The record is from RNAcentral.